GUCAUUAUCAACCCUCAAGCUUGGCUUGUCAUUGAACCUCAGUCGUUAAAGACGGGUUCGAAAGAUAAUGACGGUGUCGUGUCAACCCUAGAUGCAACGAGCUCUCGUAGCACGCAUUUCAACGGUUGGCAGGCCCGGUCUUUACCCUUAACUUUUCAAUGGUUGACCUCGGAUCAGGUAGGAUUACCCGCUGAACUUAA
RNAcentral lists this unclassified non-coding RNA (200 nucleotides) under soil metagenome. Its description in RNAcentral is "partial contains internal transcribed spacer 2 and large subunit ribosomal RNA". The record is from RNAcentral.